Leptinotarsa decemlineata (Colorado potato beetle) is the source of this 743-nucleotide long non-coding RNA. NCBI's taxonomy places the organism in Eukaryota, Metazoa, Arthropoda, Insecta, Coleoptera, Chrysomelidae. The record is from RefSeq and is a predicted model, not a curated record.
ACUUCCUGUCAAUGAACAAAAAUAUUGUUUGUGAAACUAAAUUCUUUUUCAUCUAGUAUUUGUAGGAAAGAUGUAUUUUUCAAGAACCAACAACAAAACUUAAUUGUAUAUCUGAAUCGAUUGUACUCUCUACAGUUGAAGACGAGAUAUCAACUCUAAUGUAUUGUGAAGAAAAUUUAUCUUUCAAGUUUUCAAAUUAAGAACGCUAUCAGUCUUGUAUUUAAAAGAUGUCCCGUCUUAUCUUCCUGCAGAAGAAAAACAAAGACGAAUUAUAUCACGUAGUCGAAGGCCGACAGAGACAGUCUGAAAGUUGUGCAGGGAGCAUUUUUAAUGAAUAAGGUGUAUUCGAGGAGAAACAAUUUUGAAAAACGACUUUCUUUGUUUCGGAGCCAUUAACGACUAAUUGCUACGUUUUAAAUUUUAAGAAAGCAAUGGCUUCGUAAACAGUUUUAAUGUCUUUAAUGUUGGACCGCAGGAGAUGAUAAUCGUCAGAAACUCUACGAGUUUUCAUAUUUAUGAUCUACUGGGCGUUUCUCGGCAAUGAAACAGAAACUUUGUGGUCAUUAUUGAAAUACUUGAACAAAUAUACUUGCUUCAGAAAAAAGAUGAAAAAAAUGUAUGGAUGAUUUCAUUUCAUUCCAGACAUAUUAGCAUGCCAGUAUGUCUGGUAUUGAAAACGCUAUCAAAACUGACACCAGCAAUUUUGGACAUAUACAAAAAAUAAUAAAAAAAUUCUUCAUCAG